GCCCCCAUCGUCUAGAGGACUAGGACUCAGGCCUUUCAAGCCUGCAACAGGGGUUCGAAUCCCCUUGGGGGCACCU
This 76-nucleotide transfer RNA is filed under the name Litorilinea aerophila. RNAcentral describes it as "tRNA-Glu". It matches the Rfam family "tRNA". Rfam says of the family: Transfer RNA (tRNA) molecules are approximately 80 nucleotides in length. Their secondary structure includes four short double-helical elements and three loops (D, anti-codon, and T loops). Further hydrogen bonds mediate the characteristic L-shaped molecular structure. tRNAs have two regions of fundamental functional importance: the anti-codon, which is responsible for specific mRNA codon recognition, and the 3' end, to which the tRNAs corresponding amino acid is attached (by aminoacyl-tRNA synthetases). tRNAs cope with the degeneracy of the genetic code in two manners: having more than one tRNA (with a specific anti-codon) for a particular amino acid; and 'wobble' base-pairing, i.e. permitting non-standard base-pairing at the 3rd anti-codon position. Lineage: Bacteria; Bacillati; Chloroflexota; Caldilineae; Caldilineales; Caldilineaceae. The record is from RNAcentral.